This 4690-nucleotide long non-coding RNA is filed under the name Sus scrofa (pig). RNAcentral describes it as "lncRNA (ENSSSCG00055014672.1)". The stretch from base 1 to 169 matches the Rfam family "Pvt1 oncogene conserved region 1". The record is from RNAcentral. Lineage: Eukaryota; Metazoa; Chordata; Mammalia; Artiodactyla; Suidae.
GGCCCGCGGGCCGGGCGGACUCGGGCGGCCUGGACCGGGAGGAACAGCGAGGGGCGGCGAGCGAGGCUGGGUCCCGGCACGCCCCCGGAGCCCCCCGAGUGGAUUUCCACGCGGAAAGGAUGGUGGCCGUCCGGGUGACCUGCGGAGACACGGCCGGAUCCACCUUCCAGCCUGAUCUUUUGAUCAGGGAGGAAUUCAAAAGAAUGCCCCCUUGUGAUGGCUGCGCUGUCAAGUACAUGGAGCUUCCCUCGAGGAUUUUCUGAGCCUUGUGGAUAUACUGUGAGCCUCGCUGCCUGGGGAGUAAGGCGGCGGAAGCAGUCUCUGGGGGGACCCAUGCCCGCAGCAUUUCUGGAUGCUAAAGGUGGCUUUAAGGAAGGCCCAGCUGAGUGCCUCGUGGAUUCCUGCAGCCUGGAUGCCUGCGGGGGACAGAAGACCGAUGCUUCCUGCCCUCAUCACCCAGGAAUGUCGGGAGGGGGCUCCGCCAAUUCCCUGAAGGGCUCCCAGUGAAACAAAUGGUACCACCCUUGGUUGAUCAGCUGGGGCUGAGAGGAGAAGGCGAUGAUGGAAUGCGAGUGAAGCUCAACAUCUCAGCAUUUUCCAGGAGCAAUAAACCUUCCUGUGAUGGCUGUGGUGUAAUCUGAAAAAAUGCAGAUCCGUUCAGAACUCCAGAAGGACUUGAAAACUGUCCUGCCCUGAACGAAAGCUGGAAUAUCGUGGGCUUUGAUGAACCAAGGAAAAGUGCCUUCAUCAGGACGCAGCAGUAAGCCUGCUGACUACUUAAGCCCUGCCUAGGUUCCUAGGAAAUGGGCAGGAAAAGUGCCUGCCACCUGCUGCUUGCUGGUGUGCUGUUUUGGCAGCAGGAGCUGUGGGAACACACAGGGGCAGGAGAACAAACACAUUACACACGAGGACUUCCAUCCUCCAGCCAGCAAGGUGCCGACACCUCACACUUGGUAAGUAUUCCCAGUAGACACGUGUCUCCUGGUUCUACAUUUGCCGGCUUGCACAUGUGGGGGGCUCAGGGAUGAUGAGGGAUCUUGAUGAUUGCGUUCCUUCCCUGGGCCCCCCUUUUUCUUCCCCGCCCUCCCUCCUUCUGCAUUUAAUGAGCACUUACUGUGCGGCAGGCACCGUUCUCUGCGCCUGGGAUAAAAGGAUGAGGGACAGGUGGUGCUGCAGGAGAAAUGCAGGGCACCAGGUGGUUGGCUUGGUAACAGCUCCCCAAAGAUAGCCACAUCCUCACUCCCGGAACCUGUGACUGGCACCUUUCGUGGCAAAAGGGACUUUGCAGACAUGGUAAGUUAAGGAUCUGAGCUGCACCAAACUGGACUAAAUGGAGGAGGGUUAAGUAAACUAUUAUUCUCCACCUGGUGCAAUAUUAGGAGAUCCUUGAAACGAUCAUUUUCGAAAUUCCCGUUCCAAACGGUCUUAGAACUCUGUAUCUUCCUCUUGUACGACUUACCAUGAUUUUUAAUAAUUUAGCUGCCCGGUUACUGAAUUAAUGUCUGUUUCCCCUACUCCUUUGAUGGGGACAGUGCCCUUUUUGCUCACCGUUUCCUCUCAGCUGCCCAGCAUGGUGUCUGGCUUAUAGCAGGUGCAAAAUAAAAUUGGUUGAAUACAUGCCAAAUAAGGAUUUUUUAGAUCCUUGAAACAACAGGCUGAGUGAACCAAGCAAAGCACAUCUGAGCACGAUGUGAAAAUGGAAGUGCAUGUGCAUAUAGAUGACUUCUAGAAGGCAGCUCUGGGAAUGUCACGUGUUUAUGCCAGUAUGGUGGGACGCAGGGCUGAGACUUGUUCUUCCUGCUUUAUUUCCUCCAUGCUGUGCUUAUGCCCAGGGGGCCCUCCCUGUCCAUCCCAGAGGCUGCGCCUCUUGCAUCCCACUUGCUUCGGGUCUAGGAGAAGAGGAACAUCCACUUGGGGUGGGAAGACUUGGUUUGGAAGCUGUCACUCUCCUUCCUUCACCUGCUGCAGGACACUGAACAGUCUUCGAACCCCUCAUAGCUUAGUUGCUUCAAGUUGAAAAUGUGAUAACGGUACCUGCGCCCCUGCGUCUCUCUAACGAAAUGCUGUAACAAAUGCCUUGUGGAUGGGCGACCCCACUGUAAAGUGUUCCAGGGCUGGCUGCUCCCCAUCCUUCUCUGCCGUGACACCUGAGCCCCUGGUACUCUGCGGAGCCCUGCAGCUGCCCGCAUGCCCCGUGGACUGAAGGCGAAUGUGUGGCUCCACGGAGGUGCUCGGUGCACUUAGGGUUCCUACGUAGCCAUCUGAGAAUCCCUCUUGAAGGUAAACAGGGAGAUGACAGCUAAUUAACUCAGAGUGCUUCCACGGUGCUCAGCCCUACUGCUCAUUGACUGGUCCAUCAGUCAUCCAGCAGUCUUUACUGAGUGCCUACUGCAUACGGAUUGUGUCUUCAAUUAGCCCUCAGUGGCUGCUGACGCCACCCAGACUCUGAACUUGGAGGCAGCACGAGAGUCUCUGGACAUCUUGUGCUCAGGCUGCUGAGGGAGAGUCAGGGCGGUUCACCAAGGGGCUGAGGGGAGCCUUCCGACCUUGGAAGGGGACUUUUUCAUCCAGGGAUCCAGGCCGACUCUCCCCCUCCUUUUCUUCCAAAGGGUCCUUGGCAAGGUGUUAGAGGCUGGGUGCAUUUCUCCGUCCUCACUUGGGCUUCUUCUCUCUGUGAGUCUUUGCGUCCCUCUCUCCCUGGAAGGACCCCGGUCAUUGGAUGUAGUGCCCACCCUAAUCCAGGAUGGCCUCGUCGUCCCUUGAUUGCAUCUGCAAAGACCCCGAUCUCAAAGUAAGAUCACCCCAAGUACACAAAUACUUAGAUGGGGUCAGGAUUUCAGUGUAUCUCUUUGGAGGGAUACAGUUCAACCUGUAGCAGAGCCCAAAGCAAAGCCAGCUCCUCCACGUCGCCCCGCCCCAGCGCAGUUGGCUCAGGGACCACUGCUUGGCUGCAUAGACGGAGGGCUUACUUGCUGAGAGGGACUGGGCAGCGCCCUUCCCAUUCGUUGUCCCGUUCUAUUCGAGGCAGUCUUGCGGUGCCUUAUGCAAAAAAUACUCAUCAGACCUGGCCCUGGAGGUCUGCGUGCCUGGCCCUGGAGGCGUGAAAGAUCCCUGAAGCCCUUGCCCACAGGGAUCUUAACGUCUUUAAUGCAGUGAAGAGGCAGGGAUGUGGGAAUAAGCAGUUCCAGUCGUUGCCACUUCUGAUGAAAAAGCAGAGCUCUGCGGGAGAGAACCUUCAGCUCAAGGUCUCGGCCCAGACAGUGACAUCACAGAGCCGCCCCCACCCCACCCCACGGCCCAUGGGUGGGGAGGCAAGGAGGCUCCGAGAAGACCUUGCAGUCGGGGGAGGAGCAGCGGGGGUAGGGGGGCGGGAGUGCGGGGAGAAGCUGGGCUGCAGGAUGGGGAAUGAAGCCCCCUUGACUGGCCGCCCCCUGGGCACCAUGUGUGGGCCCCUGGGAGGGAGGCUUUCUUCCUUGUGCCUGUGGUCAGAUCCCGCAUCUCCUUUCUGUCUUUGUUCUCUGGAUUCUUCCUGCCUUGGGUGUGUGAAAAGGGAGCCUCUUGGCAGCGUGCUCUGCUCUUAGAGGGUGCCACGCACCUGCACCCCUCUUCCCUCCCUCCGGCCCCUCCGCCCGCCCUCCUCCUCCCUCCUCUCCUUACCUGGCCGCCACCUGACCCUCCUCCUCGUACAACUCGGUUCAGAGAAUAAUCCACAGCAGCUGCCUUAGAGAAUCUUUCAAAGACACGCACCGGCCUGUGCCCUCCUUUCUUUCAGUGAAUACCCUUCAGCCACCCCCCACACGUGGUCCUCAGGUUCGUGCACUCAUGUCUUCAUGGUCAUUACUUGGUUUCUAAGGCUCUGGUGGGCACUGGCUGGGCUUCAGGAAAGGCCCCAUCUGGGCACUGAGAGAUGGGCAGGCAUUCCCUACCCCCGCCCUGGGGAGAAAUGUGGUCCAGCCACAAAGAGCAGGAGAGACUCAGAGGAGACAUGGUGUAGAGCAGGUCCUGGCUCUUGCUGUUGAGAUGAGACCAUUCGAGGCCUCAAAGCAGAUCUGACUUGUGCUUUAACUCAGUCAUUCUAGCUGCUGCUGCACUGGAAAUGGGCUGAAAGUGGCAAAGGUGGAAGCAGACGGACCAGUUAAGAGACUGCUGCAGUGAGCCAGGGAAGGGACGAUGGUGGCCUGGCCUCGAGGUCGCAGAGGGGGUUAUGAGAAGUGAUGGGAAGUGACUAUGUCAGGAAGGUAGACUUUGCUGGUGGGUUGGGUACGGGGCAUCAAGUAAAGGGUGAUCCCAGAAGUUUACUUUGAGCAAGUAAAGAAUGAAGUUUCCAUUUAUUCAUAUAAGGGACCCGUGAGGGGAGCAGGGAGUUCGGUGGGCAGGGGCGGAAUUGAGAUGGUUGAGAUGUUAGACAUCGUUAGACAUACAGGUAGAGAUACUCGGAGAGCAGCUGGAUGUGUGAAUCUGGAGUGUGAAGGUGAAUAUCCUAUGUCAGUUCGGCUAGAUAUCCAGACAUUUGGUCAAACACCAGUUUAAGUAUCACUGUGAAGGCAUUUUUUGGAUGAGAUUAACAUUUACAGGAGUUGCUAUCGUGGUGCAGUGGUUAACCAAUCUGACUGGGAACCAUGAGGUUGCAGGUUUGAUCCCUGCCCUUGCUCAGUGGGUUAACGAUCCGGCAUUGCUGUGGCUGUGGUGU